GUUUAGGUGGCCCUGCUCUGGCCGUGGGUUGGACUGGGUGGUCUCCAGAGGUCCCUUCCAACUCCUACAGUUCUGGGAUUCUGUUAGCUCCGGGGUGGUUUGUUUGUGCAGCAGAUACCGUGUUGGGUUUGCUCAAAGAGGCCCAGACUGGAGAGCUCCCGACGAUGCUGGGGUGGGAAGGACAUGGAUUAGCUUUGGGGUUUUUCCACUGAUCCCAUUACGUGUUGUACCUGGAGGUGGGGGUUGAGCUUAAGAUGUUCAUACUGAGGACAAAGCUCGUUCAAAUCACAAAAAGGCUGGGCACAAGGACAAUAUGCGUCUUGAUUCUUCUUUUUCUUCUUUUCUCUAUUUUUUGAUGCUCUUUCUGUUUCUCGUGGAUGUUUGGAACAGCUUUGUGGUUACUUGAUCAUUGCAAACGCACGCUGCCAUGACAUCGAUUCACGAGCAGUGGAUGUCACGGAGAAAUUUCAAUACCAAAGGUAGCAGAGGUGAAUUUUUUUUUUACAUCCAUGUGUACACAGAGACACGCGCGCACACACACGAAACCCAGAAAAAUGUGCUUCCUUUUCACUGGUCCUUACUGCAAACACACACCCAUCUUUCUUCUGCGUGUUUCCUCCACCUUUUGCCCAUUUGGGAUUCGGAGAAUCUAGAGAGACUCUUUGGGGACUGCUCAAGAGAUGGUAUCGGUGCCUUACGGAGGCCACAAUUUCCUUUUUUUUGGUUGUUGUUGUUUUUUUUAACGAAUGCCAGUUGAAAAAUUGCGGUGUGGCUGAUCUUUCAGUGCCUGGUGAGAGGCAGCAGUUGGGUAGAUGAGCUCAGAAGCGUAGGUUGGCCAUGCCAACGCCAUCGGUCCCCUCAGACCACCCUGUCCUAACCGUCUUCAUCGCACUUUUGGUGGCCUUAGCACACGUGGGAAUUAAACCAAUCACCAUCCCAGGUUGUAGAAUCGAAACGAGUUAGUGUGGGAGGGGUUCUCCUGUUAUUUAUUUUAAUUGAGUUGUGCAGUGGAAGAGGAUAAUUGGACAUUGGUGCCCAUAACUUCAUGGAGUUCAUUUCAGUUGGGUUUUUUUUUUUUUUUUGGUUUGUUUUCGGUCUUCAGAACGACAAAGGUCUUGGUCUUCAAAACAACAAAGGUCUUGGUCUUCAAACUGACAAAGGUCUUGGUCUUCAAAACAGGAAAGGUCUUGGUCUUCAUCGUCAAACAGAGAAAGGCCUUGGUCGCUGAGAUCUGUUUAAUCUUCCUGUACAUAGAUGUCGUGGAAACCAUAGUGCGCGUGGGUACGUGCAAACCAGUGACACACAAGCACAACCCUCCAAGUGUGACAGUGCUCUUUUUCUCAGCCAUCGUGCGAGACAAUUCACUGAAAGCUGCUAUUUUCAUUCACCUUGUAAUUGUACUUUAUAUUUUUUUUUCUACAUUAUUCUUUUUUUUUUUUUCUUUUUUUUGGGGGGGGGGAGGGGGUUUGUUUUUACAUGUGGGAUAUUACACCAUGUGUUAAAUAUGCAAUAAAUUGUUUACAGGAUGCUCUUGUGAAGGGCAGUCCUCUGUAAAGCUGUACAGACUCGGCAGUCGAAGCACAAUGUGCACACGAUAGUUUUAUAUACGGCGAGACGGGACUUUUUGCAGAGGGAAAGGUUCUACUAUGUUUCUAUACAAAGUAAAUGGGUCAACGUUUGUGCUUAAUGUAAAGCUGCUUUAUAAGACUGUAAAAUAAAUCUUUUUUUUUUUUUUUAAAUCUUAAAA
Long non-coding RNA from Calidris pugnax (ruff), 1747 nucleotides. RefSeq lists it as uncharacterized. The record is from RefSeq and is a predicted model, not a curated record. Lineage: Eukaryota; Metazoa; Chordata; Aves; Charadriiformes; Scolopacidae. The transcript has 2 exons.